GAUGAACGCUAGCGGCAGGCCUAAUACAUGCAAGUCGAACGGAUAUAUGUUUUUCGGAAUAUAUAUUAGUGGCGCACGGGUGAGUAACACGUACAUAACUUGCCCUCAAGCGGGGGAUAGCCUUGGGAAACUGAGAGUAAUACCCCAUAGAAUUAUUGGACGGCAUCGUUUGAUAAUUAAAACUACGGUGUUUGGGGAUAGAUGUGCGUCUGAUUAGCUAGUUGGUGAGGUAACUGCUCACCAAGGCGACGAUCAGUAGGGGGCGUGAGAGCGUGGCCCCCCACACGGGUACGUGAGACACGGACCCGACUCCUACGGGAGGCAGCAGUAAGGGAAUAUUGGUCAAUAGGAGGGGAACUCUGAACCAGCCAUGCCGCGUGAAGGA
This 385-nucleotide ribosomal RNA is filed under the name uncultured bacterium. Its description in RNAcentral is "bacterial SSU rRNA". It matches the Rfam family "Bacterial small subunit ribosomal RNA", at positions 28 to 408 of the family's 1533-position model. The record is from RNAcentral.